AGUGAACGCUGGCGGUAGGCCUAACACAUGCAAGUCGAACGGCAGCACAGUAAGAGCUUGCUCCUACGGGUGACGAGUGGCGGACUGGUGCGGAAUACACCGGAAUCUACUUUUUCGUGGGGGAUAACGUAGGGAAACAUACGCUAAUACCGCAUACGACCUACGGGUGAAAGCAGGGGAUCUUCGGACCUUGCGCGAUUGAAUGAGCCGAUGUCGGAUUAGCUAGUUGGCGGGGUAAAGGCCCACCAAGGCGACGAUCCGUAGCUGGUCUGAGAGGAUGACCAGCCACACUGGAACUGAGACACGGUCCAGACUCCUACGGGAGGCAGCAGUGGGGAAUAUUGGACAAUGGGCGCAAGCCUGAUCCAGCCAUGCCGCGUGGGUGAAGAAGGCCUUCGGGUUGUAAAGCGCUUUUGUUGGGAAAGAAAAGCAGCAGGUUAAUACCCCGCUGUUAUGACGGUACCCAAAGAAUAAGCACCGGCUAACUUCGUG
Molecule: ribosomal RNA, 492 nt
Filed under: uncultured bacterium
Lineage: Bacteria
Description: partial 16S ribosomal RNA
Rfam family: Bacterial small subunit ribosomal RNA
Source: RNAcentral